This is a long non-coding RNA of Harmonia axyridis, 940 nucleotides long. RefSeq lists it as uncharacterized. The transcript has 2 exons. The record is from RefSeq and is a predicted model, not a curated record. NCBI's taxonomy places the organism in Eukaryota, Metazoa, Arthropoda, Insecta, Coleoptera, Coccinellidae.
AUAAUCUAUUUCUCAGUCAUUUAUUGAUGGAUUUUCAAAAUGUUUUCACUGAUUUAUCAACUUUGCUCUAUAUUUUAAUUCUAUCAUGUCAAAUAUAGUAUUAUCAACAUCACCAAACUAGUCCAUUGGUGAAUGAAUAAACAAGUGUUCAAAAGCUCCUGAGUUCACAUUAUUGCAUUCCUCAUUUUAUAGAACAUUAGAUUUGCGGCUGAUUUCGACUGAUUGAUUUCGAUAUCUCACAUUUUGAAAGACAAUUAUCGGUUUCUGGGUCAUUCUUUACAAUUUUUGAUGUUAUUAGUCUACAAAAUCUAUGUUUCGGUUUCUCUGGGAAAUAUUGAAAGGAUAGUUUCCCUCUUUGUGUAUGUUGUCUUUAUUAAGUAGGAACCCACAAACCGAGAUUGUUGCAAUUCGAAUCAGAAACGGAUAUUUCGUAACUGCUGCAAUUUUGUGAAGAAAUUAUCUCGAGUUUUAUGCAACAGAAGGAAGAAUUUCUUAAUUUCUCAAUAUAACUUUGUUCAUUCCAUUCUGUCUGCAUUUAGUUCAAUAAUAAUUCAAGAUGAAUGCCAGACAAGCGGUUUUGAUUGCUGUGAUUUUGACAUGUUUUGGGGUUUCCAUGGCAUAUACACAACAUGUGUACAAACCCAAACCUGAAUUCAAAUUGAUGACGGAUACUAUGAAUAUUAUUAAAGAGGUCCUUCGAAUUUUCUGCAAAAAUGGCUAUCCGAGUCUUAAGCCAUAUUUGAAAUUAUUGGACCUAGAUGGGUUUGGGGAUAACAUCUGUGCAGAAGCAAUGGAAAAUCUAAAAAUCAAUAUAAGUGUAUGAAAUGGGAACUCGCAGUUAUUUUUUUGGAAUAAAAUUUUUGAAUCUUCAUGACUUCACGAAUGAUAUUAAUAUUUUGUUUUGUAAGAAUUUGGUUCACCUUAUAAAUUUUGAAGUUUA